GACGAACGCUGGCGGCGUGCUUAACACAUGCAAGUCGAACGGAAAGGCCCUGCUUUUGUGGGGUGCUCGAGUGGCGAACGGGUGAGUAACACGUGAGUAACCUGCCCUUGACUUUGGGAUAACUCCAGGAAACUGGGGCUAAUACCGGAUAGGAGCUCCUGCUGCAUGGUGGGGGUUGGAAAGUUUCGGCGGUUGGGGAUGGACUCGCGGCUUAUCAGCUUGUUGGUGGGGUAGUGGCUUACCAAGGCUUUGACGGGUAGCCGGCCUGAGAGGGUGACCGGCCACAUUGGGACUGAGAUACGGCCCAGACUCCUACGGGAGGCAGCAGUGGGGAAUAUUGCACAAUGGGCGGAAGCCUGAUGCAGCAACGCCGCGUGCGGGAUGACGGCCUUCGGGUUGUAAACCGCUUUCGCCUGUGACGAAGCGUGAGUGACGGUAAUGGGUAAAGAGGCACCGGCUAACUACGUG
Molecule: ribosomal RNA, 468 nt
Filed under: uncultured bacterium
Lineage: Bacteria
Description: partial 16S ribosomal RNA
Rfam family: Bacterial small subunit ribosomal RNA
Source: RNAcentral